This is a long non-coding RNA of Manis javanica (Malayan pangolin), 952 nucleotides long. RefSeq lists it as uncharacterized. Lineage: Eukaryota; Metazoa; Chordata; Mammalia; Pholidota; Manidae. The record is from RefSeq and is a predicted model, not a curated record.
UCUGUACUCUGUAAUCAAAAAUGUCUGGCUGAUAGUCAUUUUCACCAUAAGGAAGAAAAAUGGAAAGGGACAAGUUAUUCAUUUCAUCAACAGUACUGGAAAAAUAAGGUAACACAGUUGGCCAAAAAAGAUGAAAUGCAAAGUCUGCUGGAAACAGAGAGUUUCUUGCUGAUAAAAAAAGAGAUCUAAGGGAAAAGCUAUCUCUAUUUAUCUAAGGAUUUUGCUUCAGAAACUUGCUGGCUAGCCAUAAUACAGUCAUCACUGUAAUGCAGAAUGGCUCUUGCUCAAAGGCUUCCUCCUGAAACGUAUACACUGAACAGUCGGUCACAGGCUUAUAGGAUGACAAGAUGAGGAGUGACAGACAAUCAUGGAGUUCAACCCUGUCAUCGUAGAGGUGAGAAAACCGAAGCUCAGAGAGUUCAGAUAACCUACAAAGGUCACAGUAAUACGAAAUCUGAUGACCAAGCCCCAAAAAAGAAAAAAAUGUACCUGGUACAGCCAAUCCAUUCAAAGUCUGCUCAAGCUGGAAUCAUGGCCUCAGGCAAAAUCCUCAGUCCUUUCAGUUCAUCAGGAUUCAAACCUCUAUGAAAUAAAAUUUGAUGCCUUUAGUAGUUAAUUUUUCAGUUAAGAAGUCACUGCAUCCCUGCUAAUAGGCACCCAUUUGUGUCUUUCUUUAAAUACAAUCAAGGCUGGAUACCACAUUUCAUUACUCUUCAGCAGAGGAAGUACGGCUCGAGCCCUGGAGGAAGAAAGGUCUCCUCCUCACUAGGGGAGCUUGCUCUUCGUAUUUUCUCCACAUGGAGGGCACUGCCCUAAUGUGACUCUGCCCUCUCUUCUCCCCUUCACGCCUUCCUUUCAAAGAAAGGGAUAACUCAAUGCUAUUAGUCCUGAAGGGAAAAUUUGGAAAGCACAGUCCAGCCCUACUCCUCCCACCUUCUCUUCAAGAAAUGAC